This 454-nucleotide ribosomal RNA is filed under the name uncultured Porphyromonadaceae bacterium. RNAcentral's name for it is "bacterial SSU rRNA". It matches the Rfam family "Bacterial small subunit ribosomal RNA", at positions 341 to 792 of the family's 1533-position model. The record is from RNAcentral. Lineage: Bacteria; Pseudomonadati; Bacteroidota; Bacteroidia; Bacteroidales; Porphyromonadaceae.
ACGGGAGGCAGCAGUGAGGAAUAUUGGUCAAUGGACGGAAGUCUGAACCAGCCAAGUCGCGUGCGGGAGGAAGGCCCUACGGGUCGUAAACCGCUUUUGUACGGGGAUAAAGUCACCCACGUGUGGGUGUUUGUAGGUACCGUAAGAAUAAGGAUCGGCUAACUCCGUGCCAGCAGCCGCGGUAAUACGGAGGAUCCGAGCGUUAUCCGGAUUUAUUGGGUUUAAAGGGUGCGUAGGCGGGAUGUUAAGUCAGCGGUGAAAGUUUGCGGCUCAACCGUAAAAUUGCCGUUGAAACUGGCGUUCUUGAGUGUAAACGAGGUAGGCGGAAUCUGCCAUGUAGCGGUGAAAUGCUUAGAUAUGUCACAGAACCCCGAUUGCGAAGGCAGCUUACCAGCAUACAACUGACGCUGAGGCACGAAAGCGUGGGUAUCAAACAGGAUUAGAUACCCUGGUA